Molecule: long non-coding RNA, 426 nt
Filed under: Ananas comosus (pineapple)
Lineage: Eukaryota; Viridiplantae; Streptophyta; Magnoliopsida; Poales; Bromeliaceae
Description: long non-coding RNA (ACOM_LNC018762)
Source: RNAcentral
AAUUAUUUCAUCCUCCCCCAUUUUAUUUUUAAAAGUUUAAUAUAUUUAUUUAUCAAAAUUUACUAUUAUCGCAAUAAAAAAUUUAAAAAAUAAGUAAAUGGAAUAUACUUACCCUUUCAUAAAUAAUAAAAUAUUAUUUUAAUAAAAUAGAAAUAAUUUUUUUUUUAAGGCCUAGUUUGAGAUUGCGGGAAAAUUGCAUUACGUGCGCUGAGUCGAUUAUAUAAUAUUUAUUUUCGUACGUAAUAUUACGUUCCGCAUAUUGCGAUGAGUCGAUUAUAAUAUAUUAAUCACAAUCUCAUCGGAAAAUGUAAAAAUAUAUCUUUAUAUACUUUUUUUCUAACUUUAUUUUAUCUAACAGCGUUAGAUAAACCUUAAUACCAAACUAUACCUAAGAAAAGCUUAAAGACCAUGAUUAUUAACUAACCU